ACCAAUGACUAUCAGGUCAAGAUGCGCAACGUGUUCAAAUUCCUGGAAAACGGCGACAAGGUGAAGAUCACCCUGCGCUUUCGUGGCCGCGAAAUGGCACACCAGAACCUGGGCCGCGAGUUGCUGGAACGUGUCGCCGAAGACACCAAGGACGUGGGCAAGAUCGAGAACUUUCCCAAGAUGGAAGGCCGCCAGAUGGUCAUGCUGAUCGGGCCGGUCGCAUCCAAGGGUUAAGGCCGAACAGCCUCUCCAACAAAAGCGGCCUUCUGACGCGCCCGGCCAUGCCGGACUUUGAGAAGGCCGC
RNAcentral lists this unclassified non-coding RNA (304 nucleotides) under Pseudosulfitobacter pseudonitzschiae. RNAcentral describes it as "Sulfitobacter pseudonitzschiae Long range pseudoknot". Lineage: Bacteria; Pseudomonadati; Pseudomonadota; Alphaproteobacteria; Rhodobacterales; Roseobacteraceae. The record is from RNAcentral.